UCCGCGUUAUUCGCGGCAGUCUCUCUAGAGGGCCCAACUGAAUGAUGGCAACUAGAAACGAGGGUUGCGCUCGUUGCGGGACUUAACCCAACAUCUCACGACACGAGCUGACGACAGCCAUGCAGCACCUGUCUCAUGGUUCCUUACGGCACUCCCACAUCUCUGCGGGAUUCCAUGGAUGUCAAGACCAGGUAAGGUUCUUCGCGUUGCAUCGUAUUAAACCACAUGCUCCACCGCUUGUGCGGGUCCCCGUCAAUUCCUUUGAGUUUUAGCCUUGCGGUCGUACUCCCCAGGCGGGGCGCUUAAUGCGUUAGCUGCGGCACGGAGAACGUGGAAGGUUCCCCACACCUAGCGCCCAACGUUUACGGCGUGGACUAC
RNAcentral lists this unclassified non-coding RNA (378 nucleotides) under uncultured bacterium. RNAcentral describes it as "contains 16S-23S intergenic spacer region". The record is from RNAcentral.